Molecule: ribosomal RNA, 307 nt
Filed under: uncultured Chloroflexota bacterium
Lineage: Bacteria; Bacillati; Chloroflexota
Description: bacterial SSU rRNA
Rfam family: Bacterial small subunit ribosomal RNA
Source: RNAcentral
CUCGUGCCGUGAGGUGUGGUUAAGUCCGCAACGAGCGCAACCCUCCGUGCUAUGUUGAUUUCUCAUAGCAGACUGCCUUGUACAGCAAGGAGGAAGUGGGGAUGACGUCAAGUCAGCAUGGCCUUUAUGACCCUGGGCUACACACACGCUACAAUGGGUGGGAACAGAGGGUUGCCACGAAGCAAUUCGGAGCGAAUCCCUUAAAACCAUCCUCAGUUCGGAUUGCAGGCUGCAAUCGCCUGCAUGAAGCCGGAGCUGCUAGUAACCGCAGGUCAGCUAUACUGCGGUGAAUACGUUCUCGGGCCUU